This 253-nucleotide unclassified non-coding RNA is filed under the name uncultured Parcubacteria group bacterium. RNAcentral's name for it is "contains 16S-23S intergenic spacer region". It matches the Rfam family "Bacterial small subunit ribosomal RNA", at positions 524 to 776 of the family's 1533-position model. The record is from RNAcentral.
UACAGAAGCCCCGAGCGUUACCCGGAUUCACUGGGCGUAAAGGGUGCGUAGGCGGAUAUGUUAGUCAGAUGUUAAAUCUUUGGGCUCAACCCAAAGCUCGCAUUUGAAACGGCAUAUCUAGAAGAUGUGAGAGGUUCAGAGAACUCUCGGUGUAGGGGUGAAAUCCGUUGAUAUCGAGGGGAAUACCAAAUGCGAAGGCACCGAACUGGCACAUUCUUGACGCUGAGGCACGAAAGCGUGGGUAGCGAACAGG